AAUUAAUGAACUUGAUAUAAGUGUAUAUUUUGAAAAUAUAAAAAAGAAGUAAAAUCUUCUAUUAAUUU
Molecule: transfer RNA, 68 nt
Filed under: Digitonthophagus gazella
Lineage: Eukaryota; Metazoa; Arthropoda; Insecta; Coleoptera; Scarabaeidae
Also listed under: 2 other names
Description: tRNA-Ser
Source: RNAcentral